UUUUGAAAGUUUUAUUCUUGCUUAUUUAUUCACUUUUUCUUUAUAUUAUAUGCGAGCUUUGUUUUACUGAAUGUUUUAUAUUUGCAGUAAUUUAAUUUAAUUAUCAAGUGAUUUUGGAAUUAGUAAUUGAUUUAGUAUUGGCAUAAUUCGUGCCAGCAGCCGCGGUUAUACGAUUAAUGCAAGUGAAUAUUUUUGGUUAAAAUAGUUAUUAGUAUUUUAGGGUUUAAUUAUAUAUUUAUGAGGUGAAAUUUAAAAUUUUUUUAUGACUCUUAUUAUGAAUCUGUGAAACUUAAAUAAUAAACUAGGAUUAGAUACCCUAUUAUUUUAAGUGUUAAUUUUACUUACCCGGAUAGUAUUAGUUAAGAUCUUGAAAUCCAAAGAAUUUGGCGGUAUCUUAUUCCAUUCAGAGGAGCCUGUCUCGUAAUUGAUAAUACACGAUUAAUUUUACUUGAUUUAUUUGUUUGUAUAUCUCCGUUAUCAGAAGAUCUUUUUAGAGUUAUAAUUUUCUGAAUCUAUAAUUAUAAAUUAUUUCAGGUCAAGGUGCAGCUUAUAAUCAAGGGAAGAUGGGUUACAAUAAAUUUUUGUUUAUUAUGGAUUUAAUAUUGAAAUCUGUUAAUGAAGGUGGAUUUGAUAGUAAUUUAAUUUAUUUAAUUUAAUUGAUAUUGGCUCUUAGGUGUGUACACAUCGCCCGUCACUCUCGUUAUUAGUUAUUAAUUCAGGAUUUAUGUUGAGUUAAUUAAGAAUUAAAUGAGAUAAGUCGUAACAUAGUAGAUGUACUGGAAAGUGUAUCUAGUAAGAU
RNAcentral lists this non-coding RNA (799 nucleotides) under Traulia lofaoshana. RNAcentral describes it as "12S ribosomal RNA". The stretch from base 348 to 792 matches the Rfam family "Microsporidia small subunit ribosomal RNA", at positions 752 to 1303 of the family's 1311-position model. The record is from RNAcentral. Lineage: Eukaryota; Metazoa; Arthropoda; Insecta; Orthoptera; Acrididae.